UCCCAGAACUUUGGGAGGCCGAGCCAAGC
This 29-nucleotide non-coding RNA is filed under the name Homo sapiens (human). The record is from RNAcentral. Lineage: Eukaryota; Metazoa; Chordata; Mammalia; Primates; Hominidae.